Molecule: ribosomal RNA, 253 nt
Filed under: uncultured bacterium
Lineage: Bacteria
Description: partial 16S ribosomal RNA
Rfam family: Bacterial small subunit ribosomal RNA
Source: RNAcentral
GACGAACCGUGCGAACGUUGUUCGGAAUCACUGGGCUUAAAGGGCGCGUAGGCGGGCAAUCAAGUCUGAGGUGAAAUCCUCCAGCUUAACUGGAGAAGUGCCCUGGAUACUGAUUGCCUCGAGGAUGGUAGGGGCAUCUGGAACUAGCGGUGGAGCGGUGAAAUGCGUUGAUAUCGCUAGGAACUCCGGUGGCGAAGGCGAGGUGCUGGACCAUUUCUGACGCUGAGGCGCGAAAGCCAGGGGAGCAAACGGG